GAAACGAAAACAGGAAAUCAAAUAAUCAAUUCAAUCAUUUUGAAUUCAAACAUUCAAAAAAUAGUAAUGAAAUUAAAAAGGAACAGUGCAAUUAAGUAGGACGUAAAGUUCGUCAAUUCCCUUGUGUAUACGUCUUGACUAUAAUAUACAAAACAAAUCUCAAUAAUUUUCUAGCAAAAACAAUGUCACAAUGAUAAGACCAUAACGCAUUUGCUAAAAGCACUUUGUCUUUGUUCUGGAAUUGUUAUCCUUUCAUGGUAAACGGAAGUUACAUGGGAGAAGUAGACACAUAAUAUUCGUCAUAUAACAAUAUAGGGCCUAAGAUUCCUAUUGUAAACAACAUAACGAAAAUUCUUUGUCUUUUUAUUUUUAUUAAUAAAGAUAUACAACGCGUUAAAUAUAUCAUUUCUAUUACACAUUUAUUUAUCGAAAUCUGAUACCAUCUCGGUACGUCAAGCAGCAUUCGGCAUUUUCCUGUUGAAUCCACACAGCAUGGCGUUAUCAAAGCGCAUAGCUAGAUCGUGUAUUCAUCUUGGUGUCGUUCAACUGAUAUUUGGUUGUGCUGGUGUAGCAUGUGGGGCUGUAGCAAAGAGCAAAUUGACAGGCCCCGUGGGAGCAACUAUUGGAUUAUGGGCAGCAUAUUUCAUCGCUUUAGGCGUGAUUUGUCUUACUGCGGGAGUUUUUAAAGAAUCCAGAGUCGGGCGUCGGAAGCGGGGGGGGGGCUGGGCUUGCUCCGCGUUCGAUAUCAUUAUAAGAAAGGUCUAUAGAUGGUUUCGCCUAAAAUGGAAUGAAUUAUUCAAAGUUUAGGAAUGAGAAAAAUUUAUCUCCAAUACUCUUGGAUUUGCUCUUGUUUUUCAAGUCAUUGGCCUGUUCAUUGCAGCCGCUGGAAUAAUAAUUUCUGCCAUAUUUUGGACAUUUCUGAAUACUUGCUCGAGUUCGCUGGUUGUUGGUCCAGUUUUACCCGAUCACUGUCCUUGCGGGGUUGCUGCAGAUCUUACGGACUAUGACAUUAGUUGUUCUGAUCUGAGAACGGUGAGAAAUGUCACAGCUGCCUCCACAUUUAUCUAUUUGAUUUUGGAAAUCACUUCAUUCAUCGGUGUAAUCUAUGCUUGUGUUGGCAUAUGUUGUGCACCAAAGGAACCAAGGUCUGUUACUGUCACCACAGUUAAUUCACAUGGUGCAUCAAAUCCUGAGUCAAAACCGAUGAUUAUGACCAAAAUAUUUAGAAAGAAACAUCAACCACAGGAUGACAAAAAGAAAAAUCGCAAGCGUUGAGAAACUCCUCAAUCACAUGCAUGACUGACAAACUACACUCACACGAGAUAGUCACUCUUUCGGGGUAAACACAACUUUAAUAUUCUCAAAUGUAUUUCACUAUAAAUUUGAAUGUGUUAUGUGAUAGACGACAUUAUAAUCUCAUUUACAAACUCAUAAUCAUAGUUUCGCAAUUAAGACUGACCGAUUAAAGGAGAAUGAUAUAUAAUCUAUAUAUAAGCUACCAAGUCUUUUAAACAUGCAGGUUGUGUCUAUUUUGUCUAUUCCGUAUUUGCUGUAUUAGUUUAUUCAUAGACUAUAUACUGAGCUUGAUAUAUUGUUUUGCAAAGAUAAAACAGACUCCGAAAAGCUAUCACACCAUUGCUUUACAGUACUGUCCAGAAAUAACCUAACACUGCGGUUCGGUUGCGGUCGCCUGAUAGAAACCGCAGACAACUGCAAGUGAAAAAAUACCUUCGCAGUGGCGAACGAAACGUUAUGAACGGCUGAGAAGGACAACACAAUAACCAAAUCGAAAAACUCUUAAGAAAUGUUUAUCAGACCGAGUUAGGCCGAGGUUUAACCUCCAUCUCACCGGGGUUGGACCUAGAUCUGUCCUCGGUUCAACCGUGAUCGGACCGAGGUUUGACCUAGGUUAACUGCUGUUUUUGUUAAGUUAUUUCUGGAGAGUACUGUACCUUGAAAAGGGUUGACUUUGUAAAGUUGAAAUUUGAAGUUUGAUUAAAAAAAUUUCAAUUCAAAGCUUCAAAGUCGAAUGCAAAUAUUCGCACAUUCAAAGAAUAACAUUUGACGUUUAGUCCCUGAACUCUGAUGAUUUUGUACUGUUUUGACGUUUUGAAGGUUGAAUUUUUAACCAUUAGUAUUACUCAUUACUAAGCUGUAAGAGUCCAUAAAUUGUAACUGGGGCAUAUAGACUAAUAAAUUUCUAAGCUGAAGCAGCAGAAAAACGGGUGAUGUUAACUUCAGUUUACGACC
This 2250-nucleotide unclassified non-coding RNA is filed under the name Dendronephthya gigantea. RNAcentral's name for it is "uncharacterized LOC114534171, transcript variant X2". The record is from RNAcentral. Lineage: Eukaryota; Metazoa; Cnidaria; Anthozoa; Malacalcyonacea; Nephtheidae.